RNAcentral lists this ribosomal RNA (274 nucleotides) under uncultured bacterium. RNAcentral describes it as "partial 16S ribosomal RNA". It matches the Rfam family "Bacterial small subunit ribosomal RNA", at positions 523 to 796 of the family's 1533-position model. The record is from RNAcentral.
AUACGUAGGAUCCGAGCGUUGUCCGGAUUUACUGGGCGUAAAGGGUGCGUAGGCGGCGCGGUAAGUCUCAUGUGAAAUCUCCCGGCUUAACUGGGAGGGGUCAUGGGAAACUGCCAUGCUCGAGGGCAGCAGAGGAGAGCGGAAUUCCGGGAGUAGCGUUGAUAUGCGUAGAUACCCGGAGGAACACCCGUGGCGAAAGCGGCUCUCUGGGCUGUACCUGACGCUAAGGCACGAAAGCGUGGGGAGCAAACCGGAUUAGAAACCCCAGUAGUCC